GGGCGUCCGCGCCAAGCGUUGCGUCGCCAAGGGCCCGCCGUCGGAAGGUGGUGGGUCCUGGGCGGACAAGGAGGGGUGUACGGCCCAGGUCCGAAAGGGAGCAGGCAAAAACCCCCGCGCGACGCAGUGGCCGGAUAGCGCCCGUGAGUGCUCGCGCUGUCGUGGCCUCUCCAACACCUUCAGACCUCCAAUCGUU
Non-coding RNA from Necator americanus (New World hookworm), 196 nucleotides. The record is from Rfam. NCBI's taxonomy places the organism in Eukaryota, Metazoa, Nematoda, Chromadorea, Rhabditida, Ancylostomatidae.